This 1665-nucleotide ribosomal RNA is filed under the name Meloidogyne incognita (southern root-knot nematode). RNAcentral describes it as "SSU rRNA". It matches the Rfam family "Eukaryotic small subunit ribosomal RNA". The record is from RNAcentral. Lineage: Eukaryota; Metazoa; Nematoda; Chromadorea; Rhabditida; Meloidogynidae.
AUGUAUAAGUUUAAUCGUUUUAACGAGAAACCGCGAACGGCUCAUUACAAUGGCCAUGAUUUACUUGAUCUUGAUUAUCUAAAUGGAUAACUGUGGAAAAGCUAGAGCUAAUACAUGCACYAAAGCUUUGUCCUYWCGGAAAAGCGCAUUUAUUAGAACAAAACCACGCGGCUUCGGCUGCUUCUUGUUGACUCAGAAUAACUUAGCUGACCGCAUGGCCUUGUGCCGGCGGCGUGUCUUUCAAGCGUCCACUUUAUCAACUUGACGGGAGCAUAAUCGACUCCCGUGGUGGUGACGGAUAACGGAGGAUCAGGGUUCGACUCCGGAGAAGGGGCCUGAGAAAUGGCCACUACGUCUAAGGAUGGCAGCAGGCGCGCAAAUUACCCACUCUCGGCUCGAGGAGGUAGUGACGAGAAAUAACGAGACYGUUCUCUUUGAGGCCGGUCAUCGGAAUGGGUACAAUUUAAACCCUUUAACGAGUAUCAAGCAGAGGGCAAGUCUGGUGCCAGCAGCCGCGGUAAUUCCAGCUCUGCAAAUACAUAGAAUUAUUGCUGCGGUUAGAAAGCUCAUAGUUGGAUUCGUAUCGAUACCUUGGAACCCUUCGGGUGUCUCUAGGUGUUAUCGAUUUAUCGUAAUGUUCGGUUUUGAGUCCUUAACAGGAUUCUUAACAGGCAUUGCAAGUUUACUUUGAACAAAUCAGAGUGCUUCAAACAGGCGUUUUCGCUUGAAUGAUCGUGCAUGGAAUAAUAGAAAAUGAUUUCGGUUCAGUUUUAUUGGUUUUACGGACUGAGAUAAUGGUUAACAGAGACAAACGGGGGCAUUUGUAUGGUCCCGUGAGAGGUGAAAUUCUUGGACCGUGGCCAGACAAACUACAGCGAAAGCAUUUGCCAAGAAUGUUUUUAUUAAUCAAGAACGAAAGUCAGAGGUUCGAAGGCGAUCAGAUACCGCCCUAGUUCUGACCGUAAACGAUGCCAACUAGCGAUCCGCCGAUGGAAAUUAUAUUGCCUUGGUGGGGAGCUUCCCGGAAACGAAAGUCUUCCGGUUCCGGGGGAAGUAUGGUUGCAAAGCUGAAACUUAAAGGAAUUGACGGAAGGGCACCACCAGGAGUGGAGCCUGCGGCUUAAUUUGACUCAACACGGGGAAACUCACCCGGCCCGGACACUGUGAGGAUUGACAGAUUGAUAGCUUUUUCAUGAUUCAGUGGAUGGUGGUGCAUGGCCGUUCUUAGUUCGUGGAGUGAUUUGUCUGGUUUAUUCCGAUAACGAGCGAGACUCUAACCUACUAAAUAGUUGGUACAUACUCUUAGUGUAUACAGCUUCUUAGAGGGAUUUGCGGCGUUCAGCCGAAAGAAAUUGAGCAAUAACAGGUCUGUGAUGCCCUUAGAUGUCCGGGGCUGCACGCGCGCUACACUGGCAAAAUCAACGUGCUUGUCCUACCCUGAAAGGGGCGGGUAAACCAUUGAAAAUUUGCCGUGAUUGGGAUCGGAAAUUGCAAUUAUUUUCCGUGAACGAGGAAUUCCAAGUAAGUGCGAGUCAUCAGCUCGCGUUGAUUACGUCCCUGCCCUUUGUACACACCGCCCGUCGCUGCCCGGGACUGAGCCAUUUCGAGAAAUUUGGGGACCGUUGAUUUAAUUUUUCUAAAUUACUUUGAUGGAAACCAAUUUAA